Molecule: ribosomal RNA, 468 nt
Filed under: uncultured bacterium
Lineage: Bacteria
Description: partial 16S ribosomal RNA
Rfam family: Bacterial small subunit ribosomal RNA
Source: RNAcentral
GACGAACGCUGGCGGCGUGCUUAACACAUGCAAGUCGAACGGAAAGGCCCUGCUUUUGUGGGGUGCUCGAGUGGCGAACGGGUGAGUAACACGUGAGUAACCUGCCCUUGACUUUGGGAUAACUUCAGGAAACUGGGGCUAAUACCGGAUAGGAGCUCCUGCUGCAUGGUGGGGGUUGGAAAGUUUCGGCGGUUGGGGAUGGACUCGCGGCUUAUCAGCUUGUUGGUGGGGUAGUGGCUUACCAAGGCUUUGACGGGUAGCCGGCCUGAGAGGGUGACCGGCCACAUUGGGGCUGAGAUACGGCCCAGACUCCUACGGGAGGCAGCAGUGGGGAAUAUUGCACAAUGGGCGGAAGCCCGAUGCAGCAACGCCGCGUGCGGGAUGACGGCCUUCGGGUUGUAAACCGCUUUCGCCUGUGACGAAGCGUGAGUGACGGUAAUGGGUAAAGAAGCACCGGCUAACUACGUG